ACGAACGCUGGCGGCGUGCUUAACACAUGCAAGUCGAACGGAAAGGCCCCUUUGGGGGUACUCGAGUGGCGAACGGGUGAGUAACACGUGAGUAACCUGCCCUUGACUUCGGGAUAACUUCAGGAAACUGGGGCUAAUACCGGAUAGGAAUCCUUGCUGCAUGGUGGGGGUUGGAAAGCUUCGGCGGUUUUGGAUGGACUCGCGGCGUAUCAGCUUGUUGGUGGGGGAGCGGCUUACCAAGGCUUUGACGGGUAGCCGGCCUGAGAGGGCGACCGGCCACACUGGAACUGAGACACGGUCCAGACUCCUACGGGAGGCAGCAGUAGGGAAUCUUCCGCACUGGGCGAAAGCCUGACGGAGCAACGCCGCGUGAGUGAUGAAGGUCUUCGGAUCGUAAAACUCUGUUAUUAGGGAAGAACAAAUGUGUAAGUAACUAUGCACGUCUUGACGGUACCUAAUCAGAAAGCCACGGCUAACUACGUG
RNAcentral lists this ribosomal RNA (483 nucleotides) under uncultured bacterium. RNAcentral's name for it is "partial 16S ribosomal RNA". It matches the Rfam family "Bacterial small subunit ribosomal RNA", at positions 29 to 507 of the family's 1533-position model. The record is from RNAcentral.